Non-coding RNA from Pelobates cultripes (western spadefoot toad), 523 nucleotides. The record is from the annotation of a GenBank genome assembly. Lineage: Eukaryota; Metazoa; Chordata; Amphibia; Anura; Pelobatidae.
GUCCUGUUCAGCUGACGGAUAUACACCUUGUCACCGGGCUGGUAUGAAUGAGUAGGUUCCUGUGAAGGUAAGGGAAAACUGCGAAGAAACAUUGUCAUACAUACCAUUCGGUUUUUAUCAACAAUUCACCUUGUGGGGAUAUAUUCUUAUCUCAGCUAAAAUAGCUGGUAGAUAUCUUGUCCAAUUUACCCAUGUUCCUGGGUAAAUUCUGGGCUUUUCCUUAAUAGUCCUAUUCAUCCUUUCAACUACCCCUGUAUUCUGUGGAUGAUAGGGUAUAUGAAACUGCCAGGUAAUUUGCAAGAAUUUAGCAAGUUCCUGGGCAACCCCACUUGCAAAAACCGGGCCAUUAUCAGAGCCAAUCUACAGAGGGCAGCAAUACCGGGGAAUAAUUUCAGUAACAAUAAUCUUCACUAGCAUCUUCCCUAGAUGUCACAAAGGCAUCAUGCCAUCUACUAAACUGAUCAACUAUGACCAGUAAGUAUUGCUGUUUCUUACCAAUUUUGGAUACAUGAAUAAAAUCAAU